Molecule: long non-coding RNA, 106 nt
Organism: Octopus sinensis (East Asian common octopus)
Lineage: Eukaryota; Metazoa; Mollusca; Cephalopoda; Octopoda; Octopodidae
Exons: 2
Source: RefSeq, a predicted model, not a curated record
UUUGACAAGAGAGACCAACAGAAUAAGUACCAGGGUUAAUUUAUUUGACCAAAAUCCCUUCAAAGCAGUGCCCCAGUAUGGCCGCUGUCCAAUGACUGAAACAAGU